Callithrix jacchus (white-tufted-ear marmoset) is the source of this 62-nucleotide small nuclear RNA. Its record names the gene U7. It matches the Rfam family "U7 small nuclear RNA". Rfam says of the family: Animal histone pre-mRNAs are spliced by a different mechanism than nuclear pre-mRNAs and self-splicing introns. This processing involves the U7 snRNP, which contains only one RNA species: U7. The 5' end of U7 RNA is thought to base-pair to a conserved spacer element downstream of the cleavage site in histone pre-mRNA. The record is from Ensembl. Lineage: Eukaryota; Metazoa; Chordata; Mammalia; Primates; Cebidae.
CAGUGUUAUAGCUGUUUUAGAAUUUGUCUAGCAGGCUUUCUGAUGUUUGCCAGAAAGCCACC